RNAcentral lists this non-coding RNA (160 nucleotides) under marine eukaryotic metagenome. The record is from RNAcentral.
ACCGUGAGGCCCCGUGUGAAGGACGCCGCAGGCAAAACGCUGGCCCGACGAACAGAAAUCACAUACGAGGCGGCCCUGCCGGGUGAGAAGGCAACAAUCUUCAAAGCCCGAUACUUGCACGGAAGGCACGGUCGUAGAUGUUGCGGGUAUAAGCGGGAAG